RNAcentral lists this long non-coding RNA (401 nucleotides) under Rattus norvegicus (Norway rat). Its description in RNAcentral is "long non-coding RNA NONRATT028184". The record is from RNAcentral. Lineage: Eukaryota; Metazoa; Chordata; Mammalia; Rodentia; Muridae.
CAGUCGUUGUGGUUGUGGUCAGGACAAGAGCCAUUGCUCAUCCUUCUCCUGCCCUUUAGUGCUUCUCUGAGGCCUGCCUGGCUCUUGGCGUUUGCAUGUGGAGGUGCUGUGACUUAUAGCACUCAAGAUUUUUUAACCUAUCCCCCCUCAGUAUCAGUGGCUACUCUGUUUCAUAUUUUAGACCCCUUUUCAGUCAUUGUAGCUUCAGCUCAGUUGCUACAGUUGCUUCAAACUCAUCUUAAGAGUUCACCACUCCUGUGCAGGCUUUCUACAAACACCCUCAGCUCAGCAGCUCCUUGGCGCUUUCCUUCAUCUCUGACCGAGGUUGGAGUGGCUGAGGUGAGUGAAGGGCUUGAACCUCCCUAUUAAGUUCCUACUCACAAUCCAGCUUUAAAUAGAUA